This 7643-nucleotide long non-coding RNA is filed under the name Theobroma cacao (cacao). RNAcentral's name for it is "long non-coding RNA (TCAC_LNC001048)". The record is from RNAcentral. Lineage: Eukaryota; Viridiplantae; Streptophyta; Magnoliopsida; Malvales; Malvaceae.
AAAGAGGAAAGAAAGAAAGAGCAAAACCCUAGUUAGAAAAAUUCAAGAGAAAAUUUUGGAAUUUCAAGGAAUCAAGUGACAAAAGGUAAGAUAUUUCAAUUUUAUCUUGAGAUCUAUCUUUCCUAAGCAUUCUUUCUCAUUUUCCAUGGUUGAAAUUCAUGAUUUCAUGACAAAUCCCUUGUUGGCCGAACCUAGGGGGAGAAGAUUUGAUGAUGAAUUUAGUUAGAACACAUGUUAUUCUAGUGUUUUUAGUUGGUUGGUGAUGUGUAGCAUGAAAAGCAAACAAGAAAAAUUCAUGUUCUUCCAUCACCCUCAUUGGCCGAAUCUUCCUUAUGGCAUGUUGAUGGUGGAUUUGAUUUUAUUUCAAGUGAUUUGGUUAAGAACUAAUGAUUUAUGGUAUAAAAAAAAUCAAGUAUGAAAAACCAUAUUGUUUAUGCACCCACCAUGGCCGAAUUUCAUAAGGAACCUAGUGAUGAUGAUUCUUGUGAUAUCUUGUGUUAUUUAGUUAGAAUUUAAUGAAUGGUGGUGAUGAAAAUCGAAAAUGGUAAUUUUAAAGUAUAGUUCUUUUAGUAAAUAAGUUGAAUAACAAUGAGAAAGUCAAGCUCAUUGAGGCACUUUGGUGUAUUUUGGGUCAUUGGAAGUGUGAUGAAUAUAAUUGGAGUCAAUUUGGAUGUUUUGGUUAAAUCAAAGGUGGAAAGUUCGAAUUAGGUCGAAAAUCGAUCCAUUUCGAUCACAAUUGAACCAACGUGUAACACCGUCUUUAAGUGACUAUCCGAGCAACCUCAUGCAUUCAUAUAGAGCCUGAAAUAGAUUUAUAAUGACAUGACACAAUAUAUUGAAUUAUUUGUUAUGUAUUGUGUAUAGGUGGUGAGUCUUCUAACAAGGGUAAAGACAUUGUGCCAGAGGACCAAGAGUAGGAGUAUUUCGAACUCCCGAUAUCGUGAGUAACCUUAUUAUCAUCUUAAUUAUCUAAAGUAGUUUUUAUUCGUUUUUGUGAUUUUAUAGAAAAAUGAGUUUAAAUGGUAAAUCCUUAUGUUUUAUAAGUAAAAUGUGAUUAAAUUAAAUGAGUUUUAUAAAUCAUUUUGAAAUUGAAUGAUGAUUUUAGAAAUUGAGUAAUUGGAGAUUGUUUGAUUGUGUUGUAAAUUUAUGGUUUGAAUGGCUGAAUUAGAAAUUGUGUUGAAAUUGUAUGAACUGUUUGUUUUGCCUUAACAGACUGGGUAGUAAUAUAAUUGUCGUGUCAUGCUGUCGAAACUUUUAUUGAUUAGUCACUGCAGUGGUGGGUUUUCGUGGACUAGCCUAUUAAAGAGGGGCACGGUAAACCCAGUUAUAUUUUAUCUCGGUACGAAAGGCACAGAGGGUAUCUUCUGAGGUAAAGCUUUAGAGUUCACUACACGUUAAACCACCACGUGAGGGUGAACUCAGCCAAUGCCAAGGAACGCCUAUGCUUUUAAACGUAAAAAUGUGUUUUAUGUGUAUAUGAACUUUUCUUUAAUAGCCUUGGCGGACUCAGUUAGAGGCCUCGACCAAGGUAUCCCUGAGAAUGAAUUUUGGCACGAGCCAAAUUUUUAAGAAACUCAUAAGCCAUGUUGAUUAUUUGAGUGAAAUGAAUUUGUUUUGUUUAGUUGAAAUGAGUUUGAAACGUUAUGAAUCAUAGUACGAUGAACUAUUUUAAGUUGUCUCCAUUUACUUGACUUUAGAUAUUUUAGAUGAUGUUGUUUACUCACUGAGUUUAUAUAAACUCACCACCCUCCUUUUCACUCAUUUCAAGCUCAGGUUAGUCUGUAGAUAGCUGAUUUCGUCGAGGGCUACAGUUGGAUUUGUAUCUUCAAAAAUCGUAGGUUCGCAACCUUCAUUACUUUUGGUCAUUCGAGGGGGCCCACAUGUCAUUGUAAAUUAAAUUACACACUUUGGCUCACUGUGUUACUAUAUGUACGAAUUUAUUUUGCUUUUAUGCUACAAAAAUUAUUUACGGAUAUCUCUAAAAAUAUUAUUUCAUAAGAAAAUAGAAUAUUUUAUUUAAUAUUUUUAUUUUAUUCUAAUAGCUAUCAUUUCACUUUAAAUGAAUGUUUUUGACAUCUAAACUUAUUUUUGGUUAUGAAAUAUGUAUCUUUCACUCAUAUACUACAUUUUUAGAUGGUUUCAAAAUUUUUGAAGAAAAAUGACCAAAAUACCCCUAUGAGACAAAAAUUAUUUUUUUAUUGUUUUGGUUUGGAAAUAGCUUAUAAUCUUUUAAAAUAUAAUAUUAGCAACUGUUGCUCGCAAAGGAGGUGAGAAAACUGAUAUUAAAGCCUUGCGGGGUUUCGAUUGGCAUUUUAGGUAAUGAAUGUCUAUCGGGACAUCAUGGCGGUUGUCACAGGCUCGAGGAGAGUACCGGGUCGUGACAUCAUGAUCACCCAAAUGUUAGAGAGUCAAUUAAAAAAUUUGACAAGCCCUUCAAUGAUAAGCCUCUUAGUGCAAUACGGUCUUUUCAUCAAAUAUCUCAAAUGUGUCAUAAAGCAUGGCUUAGUGUCUACUUAUGACAUUCCAUAUUUGUUCUCAUAAUUUAUGACUAACCUUAUAAAUAGGAAACUAACUUUCCUCAAAUUCAUCAUACGUUGGCCAAAGACUAUAUACAAGUUAAUCUAGAAUUGAAAACAAGUGAGAUACAUCCCCUCAUAUCACUUGGGAUGAUGAAUCCUCUCUUUACCACUCAUCCAUCUUUGCAUGCUUUAUGGCAUACCCAAAAACACCCUGUUUAAGAAUCUAGUCACUUCCAGGCCCGUAAGGGUGAAAUCAAAGUAUGUCAUUCUCCAUACAAGAUUACUAGAUGUCUCAAGUUUGAGGACUAGUUGCACGACUAUUACAUGAUAACAUAUUCCAUAGACACUUGAGUGAAAUACCAAAUGAAGUUCUCAUAACGAGUCAUGUUUAGUGAACUUGCUCUUUAACAAACACCUACAUGUUAUCCUCAAGUAUCCCAUAUGCUUCUAUCUAUGAGAUCAAUUGCUUAUUUCCUAAGGUAGCUUAACAUGUACCAAUCUUUGAGCAUUGUCAAUUGACAAUACAAUGACCAAGAACAAUUUUAGGAACAUGGCUUUGAUGCAUAAUGAUCUCAUAAUUGUAACAACUUUACAAUUCCCUUGCUAGGCCUUUAUUUCCAUGGCUUCAUUCAAUUAGUACUUAAUAACUCCUUAUUAUUGCACUAACAUGAAGGAAAACCUCUAUCACAUAUAGUUAUGUGAUUAAAUAUGCAUUAAAUGACAAUAUAUAUUCCUUGAUCAAUCCAAUUAGCUCAAGGGCAUAUACGAACAAUCUCCCACUUGCACUUAAGUUAAUUGCUAAUGUAUCCAAUAUUGAACUCUUUCGCUUAGCAACUGUGUCUUUACUAAGACAACUUAGAUUGCAAUAUUUAGGGAUAUGUUAAUUUAUAUGUUUGACAAUCUUUAUUGUCAUAAUUGAAAUACUAAUUUAGAUCACAACAAGACCUUGAUUUCAUUAUUAUGGCUCUUGUUGUUACUUUAACAAAUCGAAAUCAUUUAUUGGUUUAUUAAACCAAUUAUCCAAAUAUCUUUCCUUUUGUAGCCUAAACAAAAGGCUUAUCUCUGAUUAUAGAUAUAAUCGUAUAGUUAUCUCUUGUUUUGGAACCAUUCGAAUAUAACAGGUCAAUCAUGAUUAUUUAGUCUUUUAACAUGUUAAGAUUUUCUCUAUGAUAAAUUCCUUUAACAUGUCAUCCUAAAUUCUUUUGUUGAGUCUUUUUUUAGGCUUUAAAUGUUUAGUCCUAUUUCAUUUUUUUCCUUAGACUGGCAAAUGAAUCUUAUACACUUUUAAUGAGUAAUUUAUCUUAUUCCCACUAACCUUAUGAUGUGCACAAAAUAUGUUUAUCUUAUUCAAUGUAUUCAACUACUUUGAAUUUAUUCCAUUGAAUAGAGAUUAUUAUCCAAUCAUUCACGUUGGAUCAUUUAAUAUACUCAUUUAUAUGAGUAGUGCAUCAAUAUGCAUCCUACUAAUGGUUUUGUUUGUAUUAAAACCACUAAGGUGAUCCAUGGGUGGCAGCAUGGGAUUCUAUUUAGAUUUUUUUUUCUGUUGCAUAUAACAUAACUGUUAUGUAUGAUCUCUUCCAUGCUGCAUAAAACCCAACACAUUUUGCUCAAAGUUUUUGUCAUAUCAAAAAGGGGGAGAUUGUUAGCUUUAUUAGUUUUAAAUUGUUAUAGUUUUAAAAUGACAAAAAUAGUCAAGAUUGCUUGAAUGAGUUUUGCAUUUAAAUUAUUCAUGUUAAAAACUCUCAUGCAUUUGCUCUUGAAAUAUCUAACUACUUAACAUAGUUUUAAAGACAUUGCACUCUUAAAUCUAGGGGUGCUUUGUCAUCAUCAAAAACAGGGGGAGAUUGUUGACUCCUUAUGUUUUUUAUAACAACAAAACAUUCCUCAUUCUUUAAGUUUAACUAUGUUACUUAAGUGUGUAGGAGUAAAGUUGUAAUUUAACAAUAUGUUUUAAGUCUCAAGAAAUAGAUUAAAGCAAGUUAGAGGACAUUUUCAAAGGUUUAAUCAACUAACAUAUUAGUUUAAUCAAUCAAUCAAGCCCAGAAGAAAGGAUUUAGAAGUUCAACGAAGAAUUUAAUCAAUUAACACAAGGUUUAACCAAUUAAAGUGACACUUGAAGAUACAUUGAGAGUGUAGGAACAAGUUUAAUUGAUUAACAUAAGGUUUAAUAGAUUAAAGAGGUAUUGGAAAAGAUAUUAAAACAUGAUUAAUUGAUGAACCAUAGGGUUUAAUUAAUUAAAAUUCAAAUAGAAGGUAUGUCAGAGCUUUAAAGUGUAAAUUGAAAUUCAAUAUGACCAUUGAAAGGUGCUAAUUGAAAAUUUUUGAAUUUAAAAGGACUUUACUCAAUAAAGAGGAAGCAAAGAGGUUUUAAUCUAUUAAAGCCAAGAUUAAUUGAUUAAUCCAUGAAGAAUAAUGAGACAAGCAAAAAGACUUUAAUCGAUUAAAGCUCACUUUACACGGUUAAACAGGCUAGUUGACCAAAUUAAAAAAUUGCUAAAAGACAAAACAAUAGGCAAAUUCCUUCUAAACGUCUUUAAUGGCUAGAAUUCACCCUCCAGCUAUAAAAGAGGCUUCAAAUGGUCAUAAAUGUAAGAGAAAACCAUGCAAGAGCAUGAUUAGAGCUACGAAGUGUAGUACCCCGUAUUUUGAUACGAUGGCUAAUAAAGUUUACAGAUGUCAAUUAAGGUUAAUUACUGAGUUAAAAAGGGUAAUUCAAAAGUGAACUUGUAAAAUCUCGAUCUCUAUAGACACAUAACUAGAAGUAGACUCGAUAAUGUGGACUAGGGGUAAUUUCAUAAUUUCUCUUAGUGAGCUUCUACGAGUGGGGUUUGUUUGAUGCUAUUAAGGUCUAAAUAAGCCUAAGGAAUGAAUAAAUGAUGUUUAUGAUGGUAAAUAAAUGAAUAAGAUAAAAAUAAUGAUAAUUUCCACAAUAAGGGUAAAAUUGUCAUUUUGCAUCUCGAGUAUGAAUUUUUAUGUUUUCAUGAACUCGAGUAUUUCUAGACUAUUAUGGACCUUGCCCUAGUGUCAAAAGAGUAAAAGGUUGCACAAAGGAUGAGAAGAAGACAAAGUCACCAUGUUUAGGGCAUUUUGGUAAUUUAAGUGAGAAAUGGAUAAACUUUAGAUAUAAAUAUCUAAAGCUCCAACAAUUUCCAACAGCUUCCAACCAUUUCUUCUUCCUUUCCCCUCUCACGUUUCUUCAUCUCCAUGGGAGCCUCCCUUAAAGCUUCCAUAACUUUCUCUCUCUAGCUUCAAUUUCAUGCUUUUGAGCACUUUUUCAUAGAACCUUUUGUGCUCUUUUACUCUCUCACCUUAAAACCCUUAAAAAGUCUUACUUCCAUCUUCCUCUCACUAGCUGGACAUGUAGAGAGAGAGAGAGUGAUUUCCCUUGUUAGCUUGAAGAAUUUUGAAAGAGAAUUCAACUACAAGACCAUCAGGGUGAGUAUAAGUUAAGGUUAAAUUUCUUUAGUUGUUGAUAAUGGCUAACAAUGGGGUUUGUGAGUGUUUUAUCAUUGAGGUUGUUUAUUCACUCUUAAGGUGACUAGAGUAGUGUGAAUAACUAGCCAUUUAAUGGUAAUUAGAAGAUAGUUAGGAAUAACUAGUGGAACUUGAUUAGGAAAGAGCUUUUGGAUUAUAUUAAUGCCAAUUUGGGUUGGUUGUGAUGUUGUGUGUGUAUAGGUUCCAACAAGGCCUCACAUGUCCAUUUGGAGUAUUAGUUGAGGUUAGAGUCAAGCAAAAGAAUUAACCAGACCGGUGAGUGAACUUGCAUUUCAAAAUUUGCUUUAGAAGAUGUAAAUGUAUUUAGAUGAAACAUUUGAAUGAUUUUAUCCAACCUUUGCUUAAAAAUGUGUGCUGAGGAACAAGCCCUUGAUAAAAUGCUUUGAUGUUGUGAAAUGUGAAAUGUGUAAAAGGAUGAAUCCAUGUGCUCCUAUAUUAUGUUGGUAUGUAUGUAUAUGAAUAUACAUUGUGCAUUGAUGAAUAAUGUUGUGUGAGGAUGUUGAAGUGUGCGAGUAGGGAGUGCACACAUGAUGAUGUUAGAGUGUGCGAGUAGGGAGUGCACACAUGAUGAUGUUGAAAUGUGCGAGUAAGGAGUGCACACAUGAUGAUGAAUGCAUAUGUAUAUAUAUGUGUGUGUUAUAGAAAGUUAUGAAAAUAUUUGUGAUUGUGAUGCAAGUUGGCAUUGUUAAUUGCUCUCAAAUUGCUUUUCAUUUCAACAAGAAAAUGACUUUUGAUGUAACAAGACCCAUUUCAAUUAAAAUGCUCUGUUUCUCGCUGCAACGAGAAUGUAACAAGACCUAUUUCAAUUAAAAUGCUCUGUUUCUCGCUGCAGCGAGAUUCAUUUUCGCUGCAGCGAGAAACUCUCAGGUUUUGGGGGUCACACUGGCCUGGUUCUCGCUGCAGCGAGAAUAAAUCUCACUAUAGCAAGAAACUCUCAGGUUCUAGUGCAGUGCUUUCACUUCGACAAAGAUUUUGACCACAUUCUCAUCCUAAAUGGGAAAAGCGGUAAACAUCAAAGUUGUAGACCUGCCUCUUAUAUUUCUAAUGAUUUAAAAAUCAGGUUAAUUGAACUUCUGUAUUGGGAGAUAUGAUAGAAAAAUUGAAAUAUAUGCAAACUGAGACUAUUUCUCGCUGCAGCGAGAAACUUGCUGCCAUGCUUGCUACCUUGCUUGAUUUUGACCUAUUUUUCACCCAUUUAACUUCAUGGAUUGAUCAUGGGUUUUUGCAAAACUAUGAGGUUAUUGAUCAAAGUUUGAAAUGAGGGGUUUUUUAGUAAGAAAUUAAAUCAAUUGCAUUGUUUUUGAAACAAGUGCAUAAUGAUUUCCAAAUUAAAUCGAUUGGUUUUUCCCUUCUUAUGUUCACUCACUGAGUUUUAUACUCACGUUUUUAAACUUCAUGUUUUUAGAUUUGGAAGCAGUUGGGACCUAGAUUGAGUUGUCCACAUAUGCUCACCUUCUUGGUAGGUACUAUGGCAUCUCAGUAGCUGUACCUUCACCCACGGUCACUUUGCUGAUGGUCAAGGGUCUAUUACCUAUGAACGCAUAUAUAUAAUGUAAUCCGCUAGGAUCCAUAUUAUAAGUCAAUUAUGUAUAUUUGAUUAUUGAUGCCACUAUGAGUUUCAAAUGGGUG